AUGCAGCUCACAUUAUCAGGACGGGGAACACUGAGACCUGGAGAGAAUCUCAACCUGGUCUGUAAAGUGACAGGAUUCUCUAUCACUACACAGGAUUAUGGUUGGGACUUCAUCCGCCAGCCUUCUGGGAAAGGUCUGGAAUGGGUUGCAGGAAUAUACCCCGAUGAUGGGGGAAAGUGGUACAACCCAUCUCUCCAAAGUCGCGCCACCAUUUCUGCAGACUCCUCCAAAAACCAGGUCUCUGUCCAGCUGAACUCUGUGACGGCUGCUGAUUCUGCUGUGUAUUUCUGUGCCCGAGGAGCACAGUGA
Gekko japonicus is the source of this 309-nucleotide non-coding RNA. The record is from the annotation of a RefSeq genome assembly. NCBI's taxonomy places the organism in Eukaryota, Metazoa, Chordata, Lepidosauria, Squamata, Gekkonidae.